This is a non-coding RNA of Phalacrocorax carbo (great cormorant), 4383 nucleotides long. The record is from RefSeq and is a predicted model, not a curated record. NCBI's taxonomy places the organism in Eukaryota, Metazoa, Chordata, Aves, Suliformes, Phalacrocoracidae.
CCUUUGUGCUGAGCCAUCCGGCAGGUGGGAAUGUAAAACUCCGCCUGAUUGCUUAUGCCUGAGUCACCUCCUUUAGCAUUUGUUACAGCCUAGCGUGUUAGCAUGCUGCCUGCUGGAUAAUAAAUGACUUCAUUCGCUGCAGCAGUGAGGAGACUAUUAAAAAUUAACCUUGGCAAAUGGUCCUGCAUAUCUUUUUCGGUCACAGCCAGACAAGAGGGAAGAGGAGAGGAGUGAUAUUGAAAUCUGAUUUGCAGAAAAGGUGCAGUGACAGCAAAAUAAUUUCACAGACUCCUGUCAUCCUCUGGAUCUCUGGAUCAGUUCUUACUCCCUCCUGGCCUCAUUCAUCGCUUCUGCGAAUGAAGUUGUAAACACCUGCUGUGGUCAAAACUGUUCGUACACCGCCUUGUGAACGCAAUGACUUCAAGCACCUGAAAUCAUGAAGUUAAUGUUAUAGUCAAGACUUCACCCAGAGCUCUUUCUGCAGACCUGAGCUGAUUUUUUUGAAAAUGCCAUGGUAGUUGCUAGUUCUUAACUGAUAGAGGAAUUGCCAAAGGUAGUCAGUGUUCUGCUUAUCAUGCAGUACAAGCAGAUGGGAGAGUUUUUCCAGCAGAACAGCAGUCUGGAAGGGCGUGGCAGUACCAUGGUAUGAAUUCCUCACUUAAUCUCAGAUUAGUUUUGAUUUUUGUCUCAUUGUAUAAAGUGGGGAUGAAUAUCCUUGUGUUGUAUUAUUUACUUGGAAUAAUAAGCUUCCAGGGGCACAUUUUUUACCAUGCAUGGUAUUCUUCUGGUAGCAUUAGCUCUAUUGACACGUUUUUGUGUAAAGAUUAAGAAUAGUUGAAAAUCAAACCCAAAUGGGGCAAGCCUGAAGAUCAUCUAGGUGUGGACUUACAUCUAAAGUAAUUCCUGUUCCUCUGCUUUCAAUAGAGAUGUAUAACACUGUGGCGGUGGUAGAAUGGCUAAUGAAAACUGCACAGAAAUGGAAGUUAUCCAGGGGGAAAGCAAAAUAUCAGGAGUUUAAUACACUCUACUUGGGGACUGAGUAAUUUCUGCCUUGCUGUAAUGAAAGAACAUCUUAAACAAAAUUCUCACACUGCAAAUGCACGCCAGUUCUGAAGAAGCUGAGAGGCAAGAAAGACAUGGAAAAAUGUGGCAAGAGUUUAACCAAAGUGGAUUAUACUUACCUCUGUAAAAGGACUAAUCUUCUAGAUGAAAAAAUUACUACUGGUUUGGGAUUUUCGGACAGCCUUCAGGACUGGGUCCCAACAGAAGUUGGUAGUUAUGCUGGAAAAGUGAUUCUCACAAGACAAAAAGGGUUGAAUAGCAAAAAAGGAAUAUGAUGAUGCCAUGGCAAUCUCCACCCAAGAGAUGGUGAAUAGGGAAAGAAUAGCACACUGCUGCUCACAGAGCUGCACCAGAGUCACAAUCCUGCACCAACAGAGAUGUUUGAUUGUGUCCCCAGCAAAAGCUGAACCACAUCCAUUGGAUCCAGCUUAUGACAAACUUAAUUCUGCCAUGUCUAAUCUUUUGACCACUCUGGGCUGGAAACCAGGAUCCCUUCCUGCCUCCGAAUGAUCCCCGAGCUGCACGGAUGCGGGCGCGGCAGUGGGCGGAGCGUCGGCGCGUCGGGCGGAGCAUCGGGUCCCGGGGGCGGAGACUCGUGGGCCGCGGGCGGAGCCUGGAGCGCUGGGUCAGGUGCCGAGGCGGCGCGCGGUGGCGGCGGCGGUUGCCUGGCGACGGCCAGCCUGGGCGCGGCUUAGCGCCCCUGGCCCAGCCCGGCCUACAGGUAGGAGCCGGCCUACCCCCGCCACUAGGCCCGUGGGGAGGAGGCGUUCUGCUUCUCGUCCGUAGGAGGGAGGGAGAGGGCAGGGGCGGCAGCCUGGGGGCGGCUUUGUGUGCGUGGGGACUGGCGGAGGGGUGAUUCCCUCCGUGUUACCCAAUAUUUGCACGUGUACGUUUAAGGCCCUUUAAAAAAGGCCUUUCUGGUGACCACGGUGACUGGUGUGGUACACAUCUAAAGCGUCCUGGGGCUUUAAGGCCCCAAGAGUGUGCAGUUCUGUAGCAAGAACUACCCGGAGGUGGAAGCACCUGAAGGUCUCAGUUUACAUUGGUGUUGAUAAUAAAUCUGGUAUGUUUAAUGAUGUGUUUAAAUCUUAUGUGUUGGUAGAGCUCUAAGGAGAAAAAUGCUUCUAAUAAAUACUCCUGGGCACUUGCAAGUUGUAGAAGCAUCCCUGAGAUGUUGAGAGAACGUGGCUCCUCCACAGGUCUCCUCAGCUUCUCUUGAAUGACUGAAGAGAUUUGCCAGUGGCUUUAAGCUUUGUUCAGCUUCUUGCAGAAAGGGGCUUACGUAUGGUCCCUGUCUGAUUUACUGCCCCUUUGUGGUAGAGAUAAUGGUUUGGGGAUGGACCUGCUAUAGGCAAGAGACUUGCAAUACUCACCCAUACUUUUUAGCAGACAGUAUUAUUUCAUUGGAUAACUUAAGCUCUCCCUUUGGCCUGUUGGUGAGGCCUGCGCUAUUCUGGCUCUACACCCAUCUUCUAUAGUCAUUGUUUCCUGAUAUAAAUGUUCCUGUUUACCUAUUAUUUUCCAUUCUGACUGCUUUUACAAGGCAAAAUUUUCUGAUGAGUGAUACAGUGAAAAUUUAUUUAAUAGUGACUUCAGCCUUUUACCCUGUGCUAGCCUGAUGGCAGUGUUUUCUCUAACACAGGCUCAACUUACCCCUACAGCCUAGGAAAUGACUGUUCUUUGAGUAAAUGAUUGUUUAGUAAAUAACUUUUUUUUGUACCAAAUCCUUCACCUUCUCAUGAUCUUCUUGGGAAACUGUUUUCAGUUAUACUUUCAUUAAGCUCUUCUAGGCUGUGCUGCUUCACGUCCUGUUACGCUGUUAAGACCUAUUGAGCAUGGACGUCUGCUGCUACAGUGGAUAAAGUACUCUUAUUUAUUCCUUGGGGAAUGCUCAGAGUCUCUGGGUUUGUUUUGGGUUUGUAUUUUUUUCUCUUAAAGAUUGUGUGCCUACUGUUGUUUUAGCAGGAUAUGGCGCAAUCAAAUGUUUAAGAAGUUGCACUAUGAGCAUCUGCGUCAUUCAAGAUAAAUGGAGAUGAAUGGCUGUGAUUAGUAAAAGAAAAUCUCUGUAGGAGAGGGAUGGGAAAUGAAAGACGCAGAACGGCAGUGGCAUUGGAAGCAAAGGUAAAGUCUGACCUCUCAAGAGAUUGAUAUGUGGAUACAUCCACGUAUGGGCAGUUCAGUUCGUUAGUUUAAUCAUACGCUACCAUCAGCAGAAGAGAGAACAGUCUCUGCUCGUGGCCUGGGAUGCCAUCAGCCUGUUCCUACACAACUUGAGGGACCUGAUCCUAUAUGAAAGCAGGAUUCAGAUUCAGGAUGUUAAAUAUACAUCAUAAGUGGAGAGCUCCCUGAAGGUAACUUUUAUUUUAAUGCACUCCGACUUGCAUGCAGAGUGGUUGUAGGAUGUGCAGUGCAGGUCUUGGGCACUCAGGCUGUCUGGCUGCCUUUCUUCAGGCCAGCUCCAGCAGCUCUGAAAUAGUAUGCUGGGAUUUGUAUUUUUAAGUCUUCUCAGUCAAAUCGGAAGCUAAAGAAGAAACAACUUGAGCAACUUUUACUUCAAUGCGAGCCUUGACCUAUGGGACUUUAUGUAAAGUGGCUGAUGAAGAGCAGAUGGAUUCAACCUGGAUGUAGACCACCUCUUGCAGAAGUGUCUUGAGGAAAGAAGACACGUUUCAGGGAGGCUGGUGGGAAUGCUUCUGUUACUACUUUAAAUCAUACUGACUGAUGCUUUUAUCUUGGGUUAGCCAGAUGAUGAAUUUUGUACUUGUGUCAUCCACCUACUCUCUUUGUGCGAAGUUGUUCACGUGAAUGAGUCAUUUCAGGAUUGGGACCUGAAACUAUGGCACUGAGUUACAUUCCCUCUUCGUGCUUGGAGAGCAUGGAUAAGUGCCCAUGACAUGAAGAGAGCUUUGCAUGCCCUAAAACUUGUCUUGUUUUCCUAUAUCUGUUGAUCUUAAAAAGUUACUGACUCUACAAAACCUUGCUUUGUUUAUGUCCUUCCUUGGUAUGUCCAGUAGCAUGCCUAGCAUCUGCCAUUUAAGUUAAUUGCUGAAUUAGGCCUUCUGAAUGCAAGGAGGGUAAAUGAGUGACCUGGCUGAUGUUUUAGAAAAAAUAUUUGCUUGGGCUAUUGUCCUUUGAAGUUUAACAGAAUAUCCGAUAGAUAUUAAGACAACUUGUAGAGUAUUAAAGAUGAGAUCCAUUCUUAAUUCAGCCUGCAGGAUGCACUUACCUGUAUAUUCUGUCUUCUGAAAUAAGAAUAAAAUAUUGGAGGUAAGGCCCAAAAAGAAGGCUAUUAAGCAUUUCCUGACAGAAGACUUCAUUAAG